Molecule: unclassified non-coding RNA, 357 nt
Filed under: soil metagenome
Description: partial contains 5.8S ribosomal RNA, internal transcribed spacer 2, and large subunit ribosomal RNA
Rfam family: 5.8S ribosomal RNA (bases 1-120)
Source: RNAcentral
GAUGAAGAACGUAGCGAAAUGCGAUAGGUAAUGUGAAUUGCAGAAUUCAGUGAAUCAUCGAAUCUUUGAACGCACAUUGCGCCCGCUGGUAUUCCGGCGGGCAUGCCUGUUCGAGCGUCAUUUCAACCCUCAAGCUCUCCGGAGUUUGGUGUUGGGGCGCCUGGGGCUUUUCGACCUCAGGGCCCUCAAGUCCAUCGGCGGGACCGCCAGGACACUGAGCGCAGUAGUAUUAUUUCGCUCGGUAGGAUCUUCCACGGCGGGUCGAUCUGGCCGCUAAACCCCCCAAUUCUCACCAAAGGUUGACCUCGGAUCAGGUAGGAAUACCCGCUGAACUUAAGCAUAUCAAUAAGCGGAGGA